This 80-nucleotide microRNA precursor is filed under the name Schistosoma margrebowiei. Its description in RNAcentral is "mir-3492 microRNA precursor family". It matches the Rfam family "mir-3492 microRNA precursor family". Lineage: Eukaryota; Metazoa; Platyhelminthes; Trematoda; Strigeidida; Schistosomatidae. The record is from Rfam by way of RNAcentral.
AUCAUUUUGUAUCAGUGCUAAAAGAUUUUGUCACACAUCAGUCCACAAGAGGUGAUGAGACUUCCAAGAUAAGUGAAGCG